Molecule: ribosomal RNA, 468 nt
Filed under: uncultured bacterium
Lineage: Bacteria
Description: partial 16S ribosomal RNA
Rfam family: Bacterial small subunit ribosomal RNA
Source: RNAcentral
GAUGAACGCUGGCGGCGUGCCUAACACAUGCAAGUCGAACGGAAAGGCACUGAUUUUGUGGGGUUCUUGAGUGCCGAACGCGUGAGUAACACGUGAGUAACCUGCUCUUGUCUUUGGGAUAACUUCAGGAAACUGGGGCUAAUACAGUAUAGGAUCUCCUGCUGCAUGGUGGGGGUUGGAAAGUUUCGGCGGUUGGGGAUGGAUUAGCGGCUUAUCAGCUUGUUAGUGGGGUAGUGGCUUACCCAGGCUUUGACGGAUAGGCGGCCUGAGAGGGGGAACGGCCACAUGGGUACUAAGAGAGGGCCCAGACGCGUACGGUAGGCAGCAGUGGGGAGUAUUGCACAAUGAGCGGAAGCCUGAUGCAGCGACGCCGCGUUCGUGAUGACGGCCUUCUGGUUGAGAACCGCUUUCGCCUGAGACGAAGCGGUAGUGACGGUAAUGAGUAAAGAAGCACCGGCUAACUACGUG